UCUUUUCCUUUUGUGCCCGCCGCCGCGGUAAUACGUAGGGGGCAAGCGUUAUCCGGAUUUACUGGGUGUAAAGGGAGCGUAGACGGAGCAGCAAGUCUGAUGUGAAAACCCGGGGCUCAACCCCGGGACUGCAUUGGAAACUGUUGAUCUGGAGUGCCGGAGAGGUAAGCGGAAUUCCUAGUGUAGCGGUGAAAUGCGUAGAUAUUAGGAGGAACACCAGUGGCGAAGGCGGCUUACUGGACGGUAACUGACGUUGAGGCUCGAAAGCGUGGGGAGCAAACAGG
RNAcentral lists this ribosomal RNA (284 nucleotides) under [Ruminococcus] lactaris ATCC 29176. RNAcentral's name for it is "partial 16S ribosomal RNA". It matches the Rfam family "Bacterial small subunit ribosomal RNA", at positions 493 to 776 of the family's 1533-position model. The record is from RNAcentral. Lineage: Bacteria; Bacillati; Bacillota; Clostridia; Lachnospirales; Lachnospiraceae.